Molecule: unclassified non-coding RNA, 1053 nt
Filed under: Acanthaster planci (crown-of-thorns starfish)
Lineage: Eukaryota; Metazoa; Echinodermata; Asteroidea; Valvatida; Acanthasteridae
Description: zinc finger SWIM domain-containing protein 7-like, transcript variant X2
Source: RNAcentral
CGCGUUCGCGAGCGCGAGAGCAUGGUGAGAGCAUCGAAGAUCACUCCGUUGGGUCAUGGUUAAAGCUGUGGAGGUUAUCCAGCAAAUGGCAUCCUUCCUUCAUGAUAGCAUACAGGCAGAAUUGCUGAAGCAUGUCAAAUCUGCUUACCAGACUAGCCAAACAUUACCAGAUGAUCUCCUUUCAGCUCUACAUUUUGUCUACAAGGCUCCCCUGCUGCAGGCCUUAGACCUGGUAGACAACAAGAGUGUAACAAAGCUAACAUGCCCCGCUGGUCGCAUAGCUUUCCAGGUUCUUGGGAGCUCAGGCAUUCCAUACAUCUGCCUUCCAUCGUCCAACUUUUGCAGCUGUCAGUACUACUCAUUCACAGUUCUGAAGAGAAGCGAUGUUGAUCUGUGCAAGCAUGCCCUGGCUGUCCUCCUCAGCUGUGCUAUGGGGUCGUGUCAGGAACAGCAUGUCUCCAAUGAUCGCAUGGCCCAAACUCUGACCCCAGGCCAUUUGGAACUUGGAGAGGAACCACCACACCACAGCCACCAACCAUGAUGUGGCGCGAGAGGACCCAAGAGCAAAUCCAACUCCAAAGAGGAUUGUCGUCGCAGUCUGGGAAUGGAAAGGAGCUGCACAUGUUGGCUUAUUAGAGAACCCUGAUUAAGACGUCAAGACGGAUCAAGAUCACUGUUGUUAGCUUUAUGUGAAAAACACUGUCUACUACAAAUGCAGCAUGUUUGUAAUCAUUACUGCAUAAUUUUUUACAGUUUUUAUACAUCAGAACAAAACUGUACACAAGAACUUUUCUGGUCGAUAUUUCUUGGUCAAGAUGUUAAUUGUCUUCAAGUGAAGUUUCAUCUUAAGUCUUGUCCCCUACAUGUACAUGUUCAUUUAAGGUAUUAUUUCUAGGUUGCCAUCUUUGUAGUCAUCGAUUAACUCAUAAGUGUAUACAGCAUCGUCAUCAUAGUAGACAAUGUUGAACCAAUGUGGGAAGCUUGCCACUUGGCUGACGACUUUGCCUGUGUAGGGAAACCUUUGCCCAUCCGAAAUGAAAAAGUGAUUAACAA